UUUAACUGAAAUCCUGGAUCCCAUGCCUCUUUUAAUUCUUCAACCAAAGGCUGCAUGAAUGUAUUUGUCGGAGGCUCUUUGUCCAUGUUUGGUAUAAGUCCAACAAGAAUAAGGUUUUUCCGUUUAAACCUUUCACAUCUAGGCAAAUUCAUUAUAACUAAAUAAAUUGCACCAACAGAAAAAUUGAAAACAUGUUUAAAGGGUGCAAACCAAUCUAGAUUACCAAUAACACCAUAAUUUCUUAGUUUAGUAAAAAAGUCAUGUUCUUCUGCAUUAUUAAAAGACGACCAUAUUUUUCCAUCAUACACAUCACUCAUAACAUCGUCAUGCGUACUUCUGUUUCGCCACUUCUCGUAACUUUCUUCAAAGUUUUUUCUUCCAACUAACUCCUGGAGACUAAUUUUUAAUGGUUUGUAGCAGUAUGUUUUAAAAGAAUAUAACACUGAUUUUCCAUUAAGUGACUGAAUCGUCAUUAAUAACAAUUGGCCACAUUGCUUUCUGUAUUGCUUUAAUCGAUGAUUUGGAUUGGAAACAUGGUUGCAUCGUUUAGAUUCACUCACGCCUCUAAUCAUUUCAAAACAACUUUCAAACUUGUGCAAAGAUUCGCAUUUAAUACAUAUAACAUAUUUUACGAAGCGUUGUUCAUUAAUCUGUAACUUUUUAUGAAGAAGAUACAGAGAUGGUGGUAAAGAUGCCGCUAAUAAUCCAAAGGGAUUUUAAAAAUUUUAGCAGAAGUUCAAGACUGGUAUCUCUAAUACCAAAAGAAUACUGCCAGACAACCAAGUAUAUACAAAGCCAUGUUGCAAAAAUAAUGUUAUGUUUGUUUUCCAAAACUCCGUAAUUGAAGCCGUUUAUUGGUACAUGAAAGUCCUGAAGUAACUCUUCGUACUCCUCAUCUUCUACAAGAUCUUGAUCUAUUUCAUAAUCACCCUCAUCAUUUGUUGUUCUGUUGUUUUCACAAGCAAAAUCAAAAUCAACCUCAGUAUCACUGGUGUUAGAUUGGGUGUCUUUGUCCACUUGCUCGUGUUCGUUGUUUAUAGUACACUUAUGUUGUGAAAAAUAAUGAGAGUAAUAUGAGUCACAACAAAUUCCACAAUACUUUCUCUUUUGAUUCAUAACUUAUCUAAAAAACUAAAUAUAUAUAUAUUUUGCAAAUCAAAUUAAGUAACAUAAAAUUUGCAGAUCGUAAUGAAAUACGGCAUGAUUAAAGCUUUGUAAGAAAGUGAAAAAAGUUAUUUUUUCUGUGUAAGACAGUUUUAACAGUUUUAAUGAACACAGCAAUGUUACAGGUGAAAACUUUUUUAAUAAUUUUAUAACGAAAUAUGUAUUGUUUAGCCUUCGUAGAAAUUUUUUUAACUCUUUCACAGUGACAAAUAAACAAGUUCUUGGUUUUUGGUCAUCAAUCAAUCUUCAACAGAAAAAAAACUAUAGAAAUUAUUAUUUUGUAGAAAAUAUUAGAUCACCUUUUUAACCGACAACCAUGUCGAGUUAUGUUAUCUUUUUUUGGAGUUGCCCACUAAAGUCGUUUUUGUUCUAGCGAAGUUUUGUGUACUUUGCUUGGUAGGACUACAAAUUAUGCAUUAAGUCUGUACAUCAAUUAAUUACGCUAGGAAUAGGAUACUUUAUGCUAUGUUCAACCAUGUUGGAAAAUACCUCACAGAAAAUUUAGCAGAUUUCCAGACGUAACCCUGACCGUACAGAUGUAACCAUAGCCAUAAAACAAAUGAGCCAUAUAUAGUGUAUGUGUUCUGCCCUAUCUUAGGACGCUGCCCAAUCUUUGGACAUAAAAUUGCCUAGUCUUAAGACUGGUCAGCCAGUCUGAAGACUGGGCAGGUCGUCACAAGAUUGGGCAAAAGACCAUGCAUGUUAGGCCCAUCUUUGGCGCCUUUUAGAUUUUAAAGAAGGGAUGUACCACACGAGCUCUGUUUUUUGCAGCUCCCAACAAACAUUCUCAGCCACAUUUAAACAUGAUAUUUUGGGUACCGUUGAAUUGACCCGGUCAGUUUUUGGACACAGUAGAGUGAAAAUCGUAGCUAGUAAGCUAGGUAGCUGGUACAGCACGUGUUAUACACUUAGCAUUUAUAUACAGCUUGUAGUAGUGGCUAAAUUUUCAAAAUAAAAUGUUUAUAUUUAGAUGAAUCGGAAAAAUCGUAUUCAACCAUAUUAUUAGUUAGCUAGCUGUUAAUUUCAUUGGAUGAGAUGUUUAGCCAGCUAGCUAAUAUCAUAGUCUAUAGAAGAAAAACCUUAUAGACUAUGCUAAUAUGGUUGAGUAGUUUAAAUUUUUUAUACAUAAAAUACAUGGUAUAUAUAUAUUUUUGGCCUUUUGAUUUUCCAAGAAAAGUUUCAAUUUAAAGUUCCUAUUAAGAGGCAAAUUCUAAAUAUUUUAUUGUUCUGUUUGUCUUCCACAAUUGUUCUAAGAUUGGGCAUGUACGUCCAUAGAUUGUGCAGUCCAAUCUUAAGACUGGCCACCCAUUUGUCGGAAGAUUGGCCUGGCCAGUCUUAAGACGGGGCGCGUUCCAAGAUUAGGCAGAACAUAUGCGCUUUCAAAUCAAAACAAGCAAAAGAUAAUAUCUUCCGACACAAAUGAUAUAACCAAAAAUAUAUUUGGGGCUUAAAAGGUUGAUCAGAUAGGUUAUUUUCAGCUAAAAAAAUUGGUUGGAGUGUGCAAUUGAAUGGUGACAGACAGAAAAAACUAUAUUGAUAGCCUAGUUAGAAGAGAUAAAUCGCCUAAGUGCCUGGAGCUAUAGCUACACAAAAAACGAACAGACACAAAGAAACAAAGAAGCACACACAUAUAUAUAAAAAGGAUAAAUUAAAAAGGACAAAAUAAAAAUGGAUAAAAAAAAUUAAAAACAGAAACAAAAAUUAGUAUGCCAGCCAUAACUCACUCAACUCGACUCGCAGAAGCCUCCUCCGUAUAGCUCUUAAAACAAUUGACCCUCACUCGCCGCAUUUAGCUAAUAGGGGAUAUUAAAUAUUGAUUUAGGUAAACGGUGACCACGUACGCAGAAAGUACCUCAGGUGAAAGCGGUCUUUCAGUAACUGUUUUUUGGCGCCAACAAACAGGAACAAGCGUGAGUUGAGGGAGGAAAUAAAGUUAAGCUAGCUAAAGUAUUUAUCUUAAUUAUAUAUAAUCGUCAUGGCGUCACAAAAGCUAUUUAAAAAAACAAACGUAAACAUUCCAAAACGUCACAGCAAAUGGAAGAGCACAGUCCUUCUACAACGAAGAAAUCAACACCACACAGCAGCAGCAACAGAUCUCUGUUUUGUGCUUCACCUAGCCAAGUAAAUUUCUCUAGCAUCAGCAGAAUCAAUGAAACAGAAAGCAAUUCAUCGUCUUCAACAAGGUCUUUAUUUUUUUAAGAUGAAAACAGAGAAGUACUUAAUGAAGAAAGACAAGAAAUGUCAUCUUCUUGUGAGUUUUUAUUCAUUAUCUAAACUACCCAACAUAAAUUUGUUUUAUGUGCCUUGUCCUUCACCGUCAAUCCUUAAUUUUUUAGCUUUGGCAUUACAAGACAAAAUAAAGAUGUUGGAAAAUCGUUUGAAUACCCUACAACAGCAAUGUGAUGAAGGGUUUGCUAAUUCAAAACGCAAACAAAAAGUAUUCGUUCCAAACAAAGUUAAGUUAUGUAGCUAGCUAGCUAGCUAGCUAGUGUUUAUUUCUUAGGUCUAAUUCUGUACAAUUUUAAAAAAUCCUCUGCCUGGACUGACUGCUAAUAGAUAGCUACGUAUUUUUUUCUAGUAUCUGACAAGGAUUGGGUACAGAGAAGGUAUAAGAAAGGAGAAAUCUUGGGAAUUUGAUACAGGAAUGAGUCCUUUCGGUGAUGUCAAUACGGACAUGACAGAAUACAUUAAAAAUUAUGUAAAGGGUCUUCGGCCGGCUGAAGCAGUAGCGUCUUAAACGCUGCCAUUGCAACGUUUUUUACUUCGAAAUCCACAACUUCCAGAAAGGACAAAAAAAUUGGAAAGGACGAACGCUUAAAAAGACAAGCAAGAUAUCAGCGAAAAGUGAAUAAAUGUAGAAUACGUAGACGAACCGUCCAAAACAAGGAGGUAGCGAUGUCUGAUCAUGACAGAGAAACAUUUUUAAAAGUCAUCAAACCAGAGUGGCCUUUUCAGAAAGCGAGGCAGAGGAUAAUGGCGAGAUUGUUUUCAAACGAUAUCCAAUAUCAUGGAGAAGCAAACGACUUGUCAAAGGUCUACAUAGUCUGGAUAAGGAAACCAAAAAAAUAAUAUCUAACACAGCCCAGAGACAAUAUGUGCAGGGAAUAACAGGUGAAACAGUGGAGAAGUCUGUUCAUAAGAAUCUUGCGAGUGAUUUGUUGUGGAUAAAAUCAUAAACUUUGUUUAGGAUUAUAUGGUUGCUUUUAUAGUUAUUGUUAAUGCUAAUAUUAUGAUUUCUUUUCUUUGCUUUCCUCAACAAGAACUUU
Hydractinia symbiolongicarpus is the source of this 4430-nucleotide long non-coding RNA. RefSeq lists it as uncharacterized. The record is from RefSeq and is a predicted model, not a curated record. The transcript has 4 exons. Lineage: Eukaryota; Metazoa; Cnidaria; Hydrozoa; Anthoathecata; Hydractiniidae.